Molecule: long non-coding RNA, 396 nt
Filed under: Helianthus annuus (common sunflower)
Lineage: Eukaryota; Viridiplantae; Streptophyta; Magnoliopsida; Asterales; Asteraceae
Description: hypothetical non coding rna
Source: RNAcentral
CAUCCAACUCUCUAAUAUUUAGUUCAAAAGAGGAGAAUUUUAGCAAUGCAAGUUCAUACGGAGACGAUGACAAAGUUUUGAAGGGUUUCAUGUAACCAGGUAUUUGCCUUUAUGUUUUGAUGUAAGGACUUUACUUUUGGAUUUGUUACAAGGAACAAUAAUGGAACCUCAACAGCUUCAAUUUUAGAUGUAUCUUUCAUAUGGAGAGUUUACAAGGAACAAUAAUGGAACCUCAACAGCUUCAGUACGCCUACUUUGUUGACUGCAAAAACGGAGCUAGAGCCAGCUAGAACAAAAGGUGCAAAAACUGGAAUGAUCCUUGCACUAUAAAUGUAGUUUUUGUUUUUGUGUGUAAAUAUAGAAUUGGCUCUUUUGUCUUACCACUCUUCCAUUGUA